This 1275-nucleotide long non-coding RNA is filed under the name Cyanistes caeruleus (blue tit). RNAcentral describes it as "lncRNA (ENSCCEG00000015064.1)". The record is from RNAcentral. Lineage: Eukaryota; Metazoa; Chordata; Aves; Passeriformes; Paridae.
CUCUGGUGGUUGUUAGCAAUGAAAAUAAAAUAAUUUUUUUUUUAUUUUCAGGCACCAGCCAAGCCCAAGUUCUCUAAGUGCGGAGCUGGCAUGUGCACGAGUGGCUGAUGAGCUGCGUCAGCCCAGACAAGCUUGACCAGGACACCAAGAUGUGGCUGUGGAUCUGGCUGCCUCAGCUGCAAACAACUUCUGUCAACUCCUAGAAGCUGACACGAGGCACUGAGAGGGGUCCAAGCCAGAAGUCCAGAUUCCAAACAUCCCUGAACUUUGGUGAAGUUCAAAUCAGAGCACACAUCUUUAGUGAGAAGAGGAAAGCUGUAACAUGAUCCAAGCCCUGGGCAAUAGAGGCUUCUCCCACCAGGACAGCAGCAUGAGGGCAGGCACAGCAGUUCAGCAGCAUGGCUUGGAUUAAACCCUUGCUGAAUGGUGGAGAGAGAAAGGGAGAAAGACAAGACUAUCUGGUUUGGGAUACUGCAGCCAAGAAGCCAACAGAAAGGUUUACUGAAGAAGUGUUUACAUGCAGAAAAGAGGUAAAAAAACCCCACCAGAAUAAAGUUCAAGCGGAUGCCAACAAACUGUGUUUGGUACGGUACAGCCUGUUGCUCCCAGCUGAAUUCAGAGGUGAGGAAAACAUUUUGCUGGGUCCAAGGACUCCCCGCUCAGGAAUGGGCUUCCCGCAGGGAUGAUGCACGGUGUUGCACAAGCACUUCACUGCUCACAAGUGAAAUAGGGGAUGUGUGGCAGCUGCUCACUGUUGCUCUCCCCUUUUAAUGUGCAUGUGGUAAGUCACAAAUUCAAAGCAAAAAGCUGCAUGAAAUGGAGCUGUAACUUUAUAUCUAAAUCUGUAACUGAGCAUCUUGGCCAUCAGCCACAAAAUGUCUGAUUAAUCCGUCUGAAAAAAAUGAGUUCAUAUUUCAAAAAUGAAAAGUUAAAAUCCAAGACCAACCCUUAAUUACCAAGCAAUGACCACAAAAAACCUCACAAAUCCCAAAUUCAAUUACCUGAAAUGUUAUUGCUUGAUAGUACUUUAGUCUUCUAAUUUGGACAUUAAAACAUUCCUUAGUAAGAACAGGGAAGGGCGAGACCAACACUUUUUCCUCUGCCAACAAACUGAGUCUUGCAGCUUUUGUUGAGCAAAACACUUUUUUAUUUCAGAUUAAUAUCUACUUAGACUACUUACCUUAUAACAUAGCUAAGUUACAAGGGAACAGGAAAUUGAAAAGAAAAAUAUUAAAGAAAAUACUGAAAUAAAAAAAGAAAAAAACCAAGUAUUCA